RNAcentral lists this ribosomal RNA (468 nucleotides) under uncultured bacterium. Its description in RNAcentral is "partial 16S ribosomal RNA". It matches the Rfam family "Bacterial small subunit ribosomal RNA", at positions 28 to 507 of the family's 1533-position model. The record is from RNAcentral.
GAUGAACGCUGGCGGCGUGCUUAACACAUGCAAGUCGAACGGAAAGGCCCUGCUCUUGUUGGGUGCUCGAGUGGCGAACGGGUGAGUAACACGCGUGUAACCUGCCCUUGACUUUGGGAUAACUUCAGGAAACUGGGGCUAAUAUCGGAUAGGAGCUCCUGCUGCACGGUGGGGGUUGGAAAGUUUCGGCGGUUGUGGAUGGACUCGCGGCUUAUCCGCUAGUUUGUGAGGUAGUGGCUUACCAAGGCUUUGACGGAUAGCCGGCCUGAGAGGGUGACCGGCGACAUUGGGACUGAGAUACGGCGCAGACUCCUACGGGAGGCAGCAGUGGGGAAUAUUGCACAAUGGGCGGAAGCGUGAUGCAGCAGCGCCGCGUGCGUGAUGACGGCCUUCGGGUUGUAAACCGCUUUCGCCUGUGACGAAGCGGGAGUGACGGUAAUGGGUAAAGAAGCACCGGCUAACUACGUG